AGCGGCGGAUGGGUGAGUAACACGUGGGGGAACCUGCCCCAUAGUCUGGGAUACCACUUGGAAAACAGGUGCUAAUACCGGAUAAUAAAGCAGAUCGCAUGAUCAGCUUAUAAAAGGCGGCGUAAGCUGUCGCUAUGGGAUGGCCCCGCCGGUGCAUUAGCUAGUUGGUAAGGUAACGGCUUACCAAGGCAAAUGAUGCAUAGCCGAGUUGAGAGACUGAACGGCCACAUUGGAACUGAGACACGGUCCAUUACUCC
Molecule: ribosomal RNA, 257 nt
Filed under: uncultured Lactobacillus sp.
Lineage: Bacteria; Bacillati; Bacillota; Bacilli; Lactobacillales; Lactobacillaceae
Description: partial 16S ribosomal RNA
Rfam family: Bacterial small subunit ribosomal RNA
Source: RNAcentral